AGCUCCAAUAGCGUAUAUUAAAGUUGUUGCAGUUAAAAAGCUCGUAGUUGGAUUUCGGAACCGGCCGAUUGGUCCGUCCUCUGGAUCGUGUACUGAUCGGUCUGUUCUUCUUCGCGAAGACCGCGUGUGCCCUUAACUGGGUGGGCGCGGGAUUCGCGACGUUUACUUUGAAAAAAUUAGAGUGUUCAAAGCAGGCAGUCGCUUGAAUAUCUCAGCAUGGAAUAAUAGAAUAGGACUUUGGUCUUAUUUUGUUGGUUUCCGAGACCGAAGUAAUGAUUAAUAGGGACAGUUGGGGGCAUUCGUAUUUCAUUGUCAGAGGUGAAAUUCUUGGAUUUAUGAAAGACGAACUUCUGCGAAAGCAUUUGCCAAGGAUGUUUUCAUUAAUCAAGAACGAAAGUAC
RNAcentral lists this ribosomal RNA (400 nucleotides) under phytoplankton environmental sample. RNAcentral describes it as "partial small subunit ribosomal RNA". It matches the Rfam family "Eukaryotic small subunit ribosomal RNA", at positions 587 to 992 of the family's 1831-position model. The record is from RNAcentral.